UCCGUAGGUGAACCUGCGGAAGGAUCAUUAAAGAAAUGAACCUUGAGACUGUCGCUGGCCCCUCCUGCAGAUGGAGUUGGCAUGUGCACGUCUCUGGUCAUUACCAAUUCCACCUGUGCACACUUGUAGACACUUGGGAAUGAGAGACAUAGGCUGGUUGGCUGGUCUCUUGAGAGAGAGAAAUGAAAAAAAUCUGGGUGUCUAUGCCAUUUUUAUUAAACACUAGUUGCAUGUUUAUAGAAUGAAUGAUGAUUUGAUUGAAUAUGAAAUACAACUUUCAACAACGGAUCUCUUGGCUCUCGCAUCGAUGAAGAACGCAGCGAAAUGCGAUAAGUAAUGUGAAUUGCAGAAUUCAGUGAAUCAUCGAAUCUUUGAACGCACCUUGCGCUCCUUGGCAUUCUGAGGAGCAUGCCUGUUUGAGUGUCAUUAACAUCAAUACCUGUCUGCUUUUGAUGGGUAUUGGAAAUUGGGGGUUGCAGGGCUUGUAUAGCUUUGCUCUCCUUGAAUGUAUUAGUGGAGAAAAAGAAAGCUCAUUGAACUCCAUUGGUGUGAUAAAAUCUAUCAAUACCAGGAACAAUGUCCAAGUUUCUCUGCUCUCUAAUCCAUGUCCAGUUUGGACCUCAUUUGACCAACUUGACCUCAAAUCAGGUAGGACUACCCGCUGAACUUAAGCAUAUCAAUAAGCGGA
RNAcentral lists this ribosomal RNA (688 nucleotides) under Amanita fuliginea. Its description in RNAcentral is "eukaryotic LSU rRNA". The stretch from base 273 to 426 matches the Rfam family "5.8S ribosomal RNA". Lineage: Eukaryota; Fungi; Basidiomycota; Agaricomycetes; Agaricales; Amanitaceae. The record is from RNAcentral.